CAGAAAAUAGUUUAACAAAACACCAUACUGAUAAUAUGAUACUGUAGAUAAUAAUUCUACUUUUCUAA
This 68-nucleotide transfer RNA is filed under the name Docosaccus maculatus. Its description in RNAcentral is "tRNA-Ile". The record is from RNAcentral. Lineage: Eukaryota; Metazoa; Porifera; Hexactinellida; Lyssacinosida; Euplectellidae.